Molecule: RNA transcript, 2164 nt
Organism: Panicum virgatum (switchgrass)
Lineage: Eukaryota; Viridiplantae; Streptophyta; Magnoliopsida; Poales; Poaceae
Gene name: RNA-binding protein 39-like
Exons: 15
Source: RefSeq, a predicted model, not a curated record
GAAAAGCCAGAAAAAAUCAACGGGGUUUAAUAUCUCUCUCUCACACACAGAGAGCUAGGGUUCCCGCCCGGAUCUGCUCCGCCUCGCCGUCGGCUAGCCUCGGCCGCGCGAAGCCAUGGACUUCGACGAGUACGAGUACCUGGAGAAGACGGUGGAAGCGUCCGGGGCGCCGGGCAACGGCGCCGCGGUCCUCGAGUCGGGGGAGAAGGAGAAGAACAAGGAGCGCAACUCCCGCCGCCGCUCUUCGGGCGGCGACGAAGAGCGCGACGACGCCGAGCGCAGAUCCAAGCGUUCUCGUUCCGAGGAAGGCCGCGACCGCGAUAGGGAGCGGCACCGGCAGCGGGACCGCGACCGGCACCGCAGCAGCCGGGAGCGGCGGGACAGGGACCGUGAUGACAAGGAGAAAGAGCGGGAGAGGGAUAAGGACAAGGAGAGGAGGAGCCGCGACCGCGAAAGAGAAAAGGAGAAAGAGAGGGAGAGGGAGAGGGAGAAGGAGAGGCAGCGGAGGAGCCGGAGCCGGUCGGAGCGGCGACGUGAUGAGGAAGAGCGUGAUCGCUACCGUGACCGCGAUGUCAGGCGUAGGAAAGAGGAGGCCGUGGAACCCGAAGUUGAUCCUGAGAGAGAUCAGAGGACUGUGUUUGCUUACCAGUUAUCUUUGAAGGCAGAUGAAAGAGACGUAUAUGAGUUCUUUUCUAGGGCUGGAAAGGUGCGGGAUGUUCGCCUCAUUAUGGAUCGAAACUCACGACGUUCUAAAGGAGUUGGGGCUUGCUGUUGCACUUCAGCCUGCUUGCUCUUGGAAAUUGAAUAACCCAAAAUUGGUACAUUGAAUUCUAUGAUGCUAUGUCUGUUCCAAUGGCGAUAGCUCUUUCCGGUCAGCUGCUUCUUGGUCAACAAGUGAUGGUCAAGCCUUCAGAGGCUGAAAAGAACUUAGUUCAGUCAACUGCUUCUUCAAGUGGAGCUGCUUCCGGUGGAGCAAGGAAGUUGUAUGUUGGGAAUCUUCACUCCAACAUCAAUGAGGAUCAAUUGCGACAGGUAUUCGAACCAUUUGGACAAGUGGAGCUUGUCCAGCUGCCACUGGAUCCACUCACUGGGCUAUGCAAAGGAUUUGGUUUUGUGCAGUUUGCACGCCUUGAAGACGCAAAAGCGGCUCAGAGUUUAAAUGGGCAACUUGAUAUUGCAGGAAGAGUAAUUAAGGUUUCAGCUGUGACAGAUCAAGUGGGUGUGCAAGUUAGUGGAGCAACCACCGGAGAUUUGGAUGAUGAUGAAGGUGGAGGUUUGGCACUGAAUGCUAGUUCCAGAGCUCUUCUAAUGCAGAAAUUGGACCGUAGUGGCAUUACAACCAGGAUUCAUCCACCACUACAGCAACACUGUUUCCAUAUAUGUCUAGCUUGUCAAGUUUGACUGGUGGGAUGGGCCCUACUGGUUUGAAUACUCCGGUGGGAAUACCAACUGUAUCCAUCCUUGGUGCUGCUCCUGCUGCAGCUCCUGUUCUGCGCCCUACAGUGCCUGGUCUUGGUUCAAUUCCUGGGGCAACGCUCCCCAUUACCCCAUCUAUUGAAUUGGCACCACCUAGUGAAUGCCUAUUGCUCAAGAAUAUGUUCGAUCCAGCUUUGGAGACGGAUCCUGAUUUUGAUUUGGAUAUUAGGGAUGAUGUUCAAGAGGAGUGUUCCAAGUUUGGCCAAUUAAAACACAUUUUUGUGGACAAAAAUACGGAGGGUUUUGUGUACCUUCGGUUUGAUAGUAUAACAGCAGCUAUGAGUGCACAGAAAGCACUUCAUGGAAGAUGGUUUGCGGGGAAGAUGAUUACAGCAACUUUUAUGACGCCCCACCAGUAUGAGAUGAAGUUCCCGAGCUAGUGGGCAGAUGCUUGGUUAAACUGGAUAUAGUUGCUAGGUCUCAUGUAUGGACAUAUCUACCUUACAGUAUUCGAGCAUAGUCGUGUUAACUAUUAGUGGAGAAAAAUGAUUUAGUGGCUUUGUCGCGUAACGUUAUGUCAUCAAGCAGUUUGUAAUCAUGUGCUGCCUGGGUAAUUAGCAUUUCGAUUCAAAGCGUGUGUAAGUGCUGCAAUUUUGUUUGCGCGAACGUGUAUUCCAGAAGGGACCAGCAUAGUGUCUGUAAGGUUAUCAUUAUUUAUUUAAGUAGCAAAAAUAGGUCGCGUUCGCUU